AGCAGUAGCCGCGGGAAUACGAAGGGGGCUAGCGUUGUUCGGAUUUACUGGGCGUAAAGCGCACGUAGGCGGACUUUUAAGUCAGGGGUGAAAUCCCGGGGCUCAACCCCGGAACUGCCUUUGAUACUGGAAGUCUUGAGUAUGGUAGAGGUGAGUGGAAUUCCGAGUGUAGAGGUGAAAUUCGUAGAUAUUCGGAGGAACACCAGUGGCGAAGGCGGCUCACUGGACCAUUACUGACGCUGAGGUGCGAAAGCGUGGGGAGCAAACAGGAUUAGAUACCCCGGUAGUCCCUGUCUCUUAUAC
RNAcentral lists this ribosomal RNA (303 nucleotides) under uncultured bacterium. RNAcentral's name for it is "partial 16S ribosomal RNA". It matches the Rfam family "Bacterial small subunit ribosomal RNA", at positions 507 to 807 of the family's 1533-position model. The record is from RNAcentral.